RNAcentral lists this unclassified non-coding RNA (373 nucleotides) under uncultured Sphingobacteriales bacterium. RNAcentral's name for it is "contains 16S-23S intergenic spacer region". The record is from RNAcentral. Lineage: Bacteria; Pseudomonadati; Bacteroidota; Sphingobacteriia; Sphingobacteriales.
UCACUACUUGCGUAGGCAGUCUCAUUAGAGUCCCCAGCUUUACCUGAUGGCAACUAAUGAUAGGGGUUGCGCUCGUUACGGGACUUAACCCAACACCUCACGGCACGAGCUGACGACAGCCAUGCAGCACCUAGUUUCGCGCCCCGAAGGGAGGACCGAUUUCUCGGUCUGUCGCUAACUUUCAAGCCCAGGUAAGGUUCCUCGCGUAUCAUCGAAUUAAACCACAUGCUCCUCCGCUUGUGCGGGCCCCCGUCAAUUCCUUUGAGUUUCAAUCUUGCGAUCGUACUCCCCAGGUGGAUUACUUAAUGCUUUCGCUUAGACGCGUACAUUAUAUCGCACACAUCGAGUAAUCAUCGUUUAGGGCGUGGACUAC